CUGUGAGCUCGAUGAGUAGGGCGGGACACGUGGUAUCCUGUCUGAAUAUGGGGGGACCAUCCUCCAAGGCUAAAUACUCCUGACUGACCGAUAGUGAACCAGUACCGUGAGGGAAAGGCGAAAAGAACCCCGGCGAGGGGAGUGAAAAAGAACCUGAAACCGUGUACGUACAAGCAGUGGGAGCACGCUUAGGCGUGUGACUGCGUACCUUUUGUAUAAUGGGUCAGCGACUUAUAUUCUGUAGCAAGGUUAACCGAAUAGGGGAGCCGAAGGGAAACCGAGUCUUAACUGGGCGUUAAGUUGCAGGGUAUAGACCCGAAACCCGGUGAUCUAGCCAUGGGCAGGUUGAAGGUUGGGUAACACUAACUGGAGGACCGAACCGACUAAUGUUGAAAAAUUAGCGGAUGACUUGUGGCUGGGGGUGAAAGGCCAAUCAAACCGGGAGAUAGCUGGUUCUCCCCGAAAGCUAUUUAGGUAGCGCCUCGUGAAUUCAUCUCCGGGGGUAGAGCACUGUUUCGGCAAGGGGGUCAUCCCGACUUACCAACCCGAUGCAAACUGCGAAUACCGGAGAAUGUUAUCACGGGAGACACACGGCGGGUGCUAACGUCCGUCGUGAAGAGGGAAACAACCCAGACCGCCAGCUAAGGUCCCAAAGUCAUGGUUAAGUGGGAAACGAUGUGGGAAGGCCCAGACAGCCAGGAUGUUGGCUUAGAAGCAGCCAUCAUUUAAAGAAAGCGUAAUAGCUCACUGGUCGAGUCGGCCUGCGCGGAAGAUGUAACGGGGCUAAACCAUGCACCGAAGCUGCGGCAGCGACGCUGAUGCGUUGUUGGGUAGGGGAGCGUUCUGUAAGCCUGUGAAGGUGUACUGUGAGGUAUGCUGGAGGUAUCAGAAGUGCGAAUGCUGACAUAAGUAACGAUAAAGCGGGUGAAAAGCCCGCUCGCCGGAAGACCAAGGGUUCCUGUCCAACGUUAAUCGGGGCAGGGUGAGUCGACCCCUAAGGCGAGGCCGAAAGGCGUAGUCGAUGGGAAACAGGUUAAUAUUCCUGUACUUGGUGUUACUGCGAAGGGGGGACGGAGAAGGCUAUGUUGGCCGGGCGACGGUUGUCCCGGUUUAAGCGUGUAGGCUGGUUUUCCAGGCAAAUCCGGAAAAUCAAGGCUGAGGCGUGAUGACGAGGCACUACGGUGCUGAAGCAACAAAUGCCCUGCUUCCAGGAAAAGCCUCUAAGCAUCAGGUAACAUCAAAUCGUACCCCAAACCGACACAGGUGGUCAGGUAGAGAAUACCAAGGCGCUUGAGAGAACUCGGGUGAAGGAACUAGGCAAAAUGGUGCCGUAACUUCGGGAGAAGGCACGCUGAUAUGUAGGUGAAGUCCCUCGCGGAUGGAGCUGAAAUCAGUCGAAGAUACCAGCUGGCUGCAACUGUUUAUUAAAAACACAGCACUGUGCAAACACGAAAGUGGACGUAUACGGUGUGACGCCUGCCCGGUGCCGGAAGGUUAAUUGAUGGGGUUAGCGCAAGCGAAGCUCUUGAUCGAAGCCCCGGUAAACGGCGGCCGUAACUAUAACGGUCCUAAGGUAGCGAAAUUCCUUGUCGGGUAAGUUCCGACCUGCACGAAUGGCGUAAUGAUGGCCAGGCUGUCUCCACCCGAGACUCAGUGAAAUUGAACUCGCUGUGAAGAUGCAGUGUACCCGCGGCAAGACGGAAAGACCCCGUGAACCUUUACUAUAGCUUGACACUGAACAUUGAGCCUUGAUGUGUAGGAUAGGUGGGAGGCUU
RNAcentral lists this ribosomal RNA (1775 nucleotides) under Escherichia coli. RNAcentral's name for it is "partial 23S ribosomal RNA". It matches the Rfam family "Bacterial large subunit ribosomal RNA", at positions 397 to 2157 of the family's 2925-position model. The record is from RNAcentral. Lineage: Bacteria; Pseudomonadati; Pseudomonadota; Gammaproteobacteria; Enterobacterales; Enterobacteriaceae.